RNAcentral lists this long non-coding RNA (502 nucleotides) under Mytilus galloprovincialis (Mediterranean mussel). Lineage: Eukaryota; Metazoa; Mollusca; Bivalvia; Mytilida; Mytilidae. The record is from RNAcentral.
UUAUUUAACAUGUGUAGGGUGUCAUAGUUCAUCUCUUCUCUGCUCUCCAUGCCAUGGUAGUCCCCAUCAUUCCUGUCUUCACUGAUAUUCAUAUUAGCCUAUGAUCCUGCUUGAGAUAUGACGUCAUAUUCAUCGUUUUCUCUAUCAGAAUGGACGUUCCGAUCUAGCUAAGCAAUUCCAUUACACAUAUUAGAAUGAAAACCGGCAAUCAUAUCUGUUGACUCGGAUAACAACUGACACACUGUUUUUGUUUUUAAAGAUAUAAAAUAAGUAUCAAUUAGCCGGUAAAUCACUUUCUAAAGGCUAUUUCUAAAAGUUUUAAAACAAAAUCCGCUUAGGUCGAAAUUCCUUCCCACAUUUAAUAGAAAUAAGUAGAUGUAGUAUGAGUGAAAGUGAUACAACUCUCCACUCCAGUCACAAUUUGUUAAGGUAAACCAUUAUAAUAAUUUAUGUUGUUUCGGGUCCUCAGUGAAUAUUUUAAAGUAGAAAAAUCCGAUGCAAC